CCCGAGACUAGAGUCUCAUCCUGACAUGAUCCAUUGUCUUGGUGUGCUAGAGAUCUCGCAGAGUGAAGACUGAUCUUAUUCACUGACUGGCUCUUUCUUGGCUCAGUCAGCCACAGGGUCAGUGACACGU
This is a small nucleolar RNA of Megalops cyprinoides (Indo-Pacific tarpon), 130 nucleotides long. RefSeq annotates it as small nucleolar RNA SNORA3/SNORA45 family. The record is from RefSeq and is a predicted model, not a curated record. The transcript has a single exon. NCBI's taxonomy places the organism in Eukaryota, Metazoa, Chordata, Actinopteri, Elopiformes, Megalopidae.